Molecule: RNA transcript, 1534 nt
Organism: Vollenhovia emeryi
Lineage: Eukaryota; Metazoa; Arthropoda; Insecta; Hymenoptera; Formicidae
Exons: 4
Source: RefSeq, a predicted model, not a curated record
AAACGACGUGCCUCAAAUAAAGAAUUCGAAUUAUUUAUUGAGAAUAAUUUGUUGAAUGAAAAAAUUUCUGAUAAAAAUAUUACAAGCGAGUCAACAAAGAAAAAAAUGAAGAAAAAUGAAACAUACAAUGCGGACAAUACUCAAACUGAUACCUAGUAGAAAAUUAAACACAUCUGUUAACAAAGUUUCGCUUAAAAAAAAAUCUCUUCUAGAAAAAAUUCAACAAUUAGAGGCUGAAUUGAAAAAAAGGAUGAAAUACUUGGUAGCAAUGAGCAAGUUGAACAUUUAGAAAGGAUUUUUGAGAAGAAAAUGACGAAAUUAGAAGAAAGGUUAAAGAAAAACUUGGAGAAUACAAUAAAAAUGGUUGAAAACGUUGUUGGAGAGAGUGUUAAUCAACUUGACCAAAAGAUAUCAAAUAUCGAGAACAUGAUGAGUACGUCACCUGCACUCAAUAUUCAGAAAGUAUUAGAUUGGAUAAAUAAUCUUCCUGAGAAGAUUGUAUGAGGCUUUGUGCAAUGCCUUUCUCUUUUUUAAUUAUAAUAUUAAAAUUCUUCAAAUACUAGUACAUUUUUCUGUUUUCAUAUUGGAAUUUAUUUAUGGAAUGCAUUCUUAUUUACAAUUUAUUCCAAAUAGUGGUUAACUGCAAAUAUAAUACUACUCAGAACUUUUUACUCAUUUCUGCAAAGAAACAUCAUUUCUAGUUGUAAGCAAUACAUCUACCUUCAACUACACCCACUUCAAGUAGCGUAACCUCUGAACUUGAAGAAAAAGUAUUCUCUCUUUUUAUCUUUUUUUCUCUCGAAUCAAAACAUGCACGCUGAUAUCACAGUGUUUUUGUUAGUUAUUGCAUAGUAGAUGAGUUUUCUAAUCCAUUUGUAAGUUAUUGCUAUUUUCUCAGAUAAAUCUUGGUGAAGGAAUUAUGUGUUCCAAAUAUGCUCACCAACUUCUCAAUACAGUUAAAGAACAUUCUGAUUGGGCUGUAGCACUCCUUACAGGAGUGUACGGUGAUAAAGCCCAGAAAAUGCGGUAUGGGACGCCCCGGAGUCCAGACUUGGAAUCUUUUUCACGUUCUUUUGUAAAUAUUGCCAAAUACCAUUACAGAAAAUGGCUCGAAAACCUUACGAUAGGGAAUACUGAAGAUUGUAAGUACAGUUUUGUUCAAGUGGAAGAAUUGAUCAAUAGCCUCCCAACAUACCUUUCGAAAAGGUAUAUUGAUAUGAAUGGGCCCCGUCUAAAAAAAGAGUAAUACCUCGAGUGAACAAUCACGACAAAAACGGUUUGAUCCUAAUCGGAAAAGAAGACCAUAUCAGAGAAGAGGCUCUUUACCACAACUUCAGUUACCACCAGCUAUAUCAACUAUAACCCAGCAGCUACAUCAACAAGAAUCAGUAGUUCUACAGCAGUUACAAAAUCAAGAGCAACAUUUACAGCAGCUAAAUACACCAGUAUUAUUGGAGUCUGACAACUCAAACUGGCAAAUUCCUUAUAAUUUACCGUGUGAACCCUAGGGUCCAGCAGCAAUCCCAAUGAUUCG